Odocoileus virginianus texanus is the source of this 302-nucleotide non-coding RNA. NCBI's taxonomy places the organism in Eukaryota, Metazoa, Chordata, Mammalia, Artiodactyla, Cervidae. The record is from RefSeq and is a predicted model, not a curated record.
UUUCCUUCUCCGACAGUUUCACAGAUGAGGGCAUAAAAGCUCCAGUCAGUGCCUUCACUGCAACCUCAUCAGAGACCCUGAUCCAGAAUGUCCCAGUUUCCCCACCCCAAGCUGUGCCUGCAUUCCUUGACCAUCAGAUACUUUGAGAAGCAAUGCUUGCUGUUUAGAUGCACUAAGUUUUAAGCAAUGGCACCCAUGAGUACUAGCAGUCAUUGUAUUCUUCACUACAACAUACAGAAAAAGGCAAGCUUCAUUUAAUAAUGUCCCUGAUAAAGUAGUGUAAACUAUUAAUUUUAUUAAAA